RNAcentral lists this long non-coding RNA (11176 nucleotides) under Ananas comosus (pineapple). RNAcentral describes it as "long non-coding RNA (ACOM_LNC002989)". Lineage: Eukaryota; Viridiplantae; Streptophyta; Magnoliopsida; Poales; Bromeliaceae. The record is from RNAcentral.
AAUAUAGGCAUUAAUUUAAAUUUUAGGAAUUUUAGAAAUAGCAGUAAAUAUGUUGAAUUUAAAUAUUUAAUAUUUAAAUUUAAAAUUAAAUAAGAGAAAUUUUGUAUUACUAUUUUAACAAAUUUAAUGUUGAUAAUAAUGAAUUCAACAUAUUUAAUUUGUUUAAGAAAAUUUUAAAUUACUCUAGUUUAGAUAUUAAUUUUUUAUCACAAUCUUUAAAAAAAUUUGAAUGUAGGUAAAAAAAAUUAAAAUUCAACGUAUUUAAUAUAUUGUAAUAUUUUUUAAUAAAAUAUUUGCGGAUUACGGAUAUGAAAUGAUAAAAUAUCUUUGGGUUAUGGAUGUCAAUAGUUACGAAUAUCCAUAAUUUUAUCUGAAUCCGAAUCCAAAGCCGAAAGCAAACGUAGUAGAUUUACCUAUGCUUAAUGGAUAUAGUUUUGGAUGUGGAUAUAAAAAAUGAAAAUCCGAUGAAUUUAAAUUCGGAUGCGGAUUUUGAUUAUAUCUGAUCCGAACCUAAAACCGACCGAAACCAAAAUUUAUUUUACAUUAUAUAUAAUAUAUAUAAAUGUUUGAUGUUAUAGCUGAAUAUGUAUUUUUAAAAUUUAGAUUUAAUUUAAUAUAUUUUAAAAUAUUGUAAAGAAAAAUAAAUGUUUCGAGUUCGGAUUUUCAGGUUCGGAUUAGGGUCGGGUUUUGGAUUUUUAGUCAGGUACGGGUAUAAAUAUGAUUUUCUAAAAUUCGUCGGAUUUGGGUUCAGGUUCGGGUUUCAGCCGAUUUGAUAGUCGAGUUUGUGUUUGGGUUCGAAUUUUUAAAAAUUUGCUCAGAAUCCUACCCUUUUAUAUCUGUACUGUAGAUGAAGAGGAAAGAUAGAGAGAGAAAAAGAAAACAAAAAGAGAAUAAAGAUUUGAUUUUUUUAUAGUGGAGAUAAAAUUACUAAAUUAUCCAUAUAUUAAAAGACCAAAAUAUCUUUUUUGGGGUAUCUGGUAAUCGGUAUCUCUCUCAAAGUGACUUGUUAUUGCGGGUCAUAAUUUUAAAAAAAAUUAAAUCCGAACUGUAGAAUAGAAAUGACUGAAUAAUAUCAAAAACUAACAAAUAUAGAAACAUUACUCAUAUAUAUAUAUAUAUNAGUCCGGCUACUAUACUCUUAGGAGUACGAUCGACUUCGUACCCAUAAGUUGUUUUCGAUGAUAGAGCUUCCGAAUCGACGAUCCAUACCGUUAAACAUUAUCUAGAGCAUUUAAAAUUUCUAGAAAUCAAAUUUUAUAAUUUUUUAAUAUCAUUUACCUUACGAUUAAAAGCUCACAAAAUUGACAAUUUUUAAUGGCCGGUAUGAGAUAUUUACUAGUUUAACGGUGAAAUAGAAUCGGCUGUAGUAUCCUUGGUAUUCUGCAGCCGUGAGAUUUCAGCAUCUGAGACUUGUCGACACAUCUGAAGAGUGUCAGGACAAGUCCGAGUCGUUUUGGCGUGAUAUAGACGCAAAACAGACUCAGUAUGACGCGAGAGCAGGAAUUUAGCACUAAAAUCUGCAAAUUGCAGGUUGUCAGCAUUGAAUACUGGUACUACACAUGGGAGUACCGGUAUCCCAGUCUAAUUUUUUGAUUUAUGCUCUCGGGUUGCGAAGGCUGAUGCGGGGUACGGGUACGGCAUCGGCCUGGUACCAGUAUUCCAGGGUAGGUGAGGAGCCUUUUGGUCUUUUGAUGCCUCGAUCAUUUCACCCUUAUCUCCCGCCGCCUAUAUAGUAUAGAGGAUUUGAGAGAGAGCUUUUGUUUACUCUUCCCUCUCUCUCUCUAGAUUGAAGCCGUGCGCUUGGUGGUGGUCGCGGUUGGAGCUCGGAUCGACGUCGACUUCACGCCGGGGAACCGUUUGAGCACGUGAGCGUCGUAGUUGCAUCGUUGGGAGGCCGAGUGAGCGCGUGGUUCCUCUUCUGUCGACUUUUUGCCGGAGUUGAAUUAGCAUUCGAGGUGGGUUGAAGUUUACCGAAUUCUUCGAAUUUCCUCCUAAGCCUAGUUUGUUGUCAGCAUGUAUUUUUGGCUUCGUAUAUUAUGUUUAGUAGCUCGAUUCGUCGAUUUGCAUUGUUCUUCAAUGAAAUCUGAAUUAGAGAUUUAGUUUAUUAUACAUAUUGGACUUGGAAUUGACUUAGGAGAAAACUAUAGGUUCUACACUGUCAUUUUCUUAAAACUAUCAGAUUUAGCUUUAGGAGCCGCAGUUUGUUUGUAUCGGCGCAGUUUGUAGGCGGUAGAUACCGAGAAUAGUGUAGAAUGAAUUUACGCUCGUGCUGGAAUACCGAGUUUAUUUUUACAGUAGUGUAUAGACUGUUCCGGACUGUCGAGUGCCGUCGCGGCUGACAGUGGACCCAGAUUUCUGUAUUUUGCAUAAAAUUGUGCCGAGGGCACGUGAGUUAUGGUUGUUAGACUAGUUAGACACUUCUGCUUUGACUAUAGUCUGUGAGAGCCUGAUUGAGCUCGGUAGAGAUACGCUUGCAUACUCGAUUGGGUAACGCCCACGAGUGCCACUCCGGAGUCGGACUUUGUGCUUUUGCGUUGUUGUCAUUAUGUCCUGGUUGGACUCGCUCUCCACUGACGACUAAGCAUGGUGGUAGUUAGUAUAACUUCGACAUGCGGGACAGGUGUGUUCACAGUCCCUAGUGAGAUUAGGUCAGAGUUUGUGUAGUGACCCUGGAAUUCAGCAUUUGAGGCUUGUCGACAGCUCUGGAUAGUGUCGGGAUGAGUCCAAGUCCUAUUAGCGCGAAAUAGAUGCAAACUGCACUCAGCGAGACACGAGAGCAGAGAGUUAGCAUUGCAAUCUGCAAAUUGCAGAAUUUCAGCAAUUGGUACCGGUACCACAUAGGGGCGUACCGGUACCCGGUGCAAUUUUCUGCGCAGACUGCUCUCGGGUUGCCCAUUCUGCUGCGCGGUACCGUUACAACAUUGGAUUGGUACCGGUACUCCAGGGUUGGUGAGGGGCUGAAUGGUCUUUUGACUGCCUCGUUGUCUUCACCCUCACCUACUCUCCUUAUAUACGUGUAGAGGAGCAAGGAUGGAGGGUUUUGCAGCUUCUUCUUCUCCUCUCUCUCUAGCUUGUGCCGUACGUGGUGGAGCUCUCCGGUGGAAUCGGAGCGACGUCGACGUUGUGCCGCGGAGCCGUUCGAGCGUGCGUUCGUCGUGGUAGCGUCGUGGGAAGGCCGAGCGAGCGUGUGGUUCCGCUUUUGUCAACUUCUCGCCGUUGUUGGACGCGCUUUCGAGGUGGGUCAAAGUGAUGCUUACGGAAUUUCGCGGAUUUUCCUCCUAAUUCUAUAUAUUGACAGCAUGUGUUUUUUUAGCUUCGUUUAGCAUAUUGUUUAGCUCAAUAUUUGGAUUUGCAUGUUAUUGAUCUUGAAUUGGAGCUUAAAAUACUAGCUAAAUUAUACAUGUUGGACUUGAUUUUUGACUUAGGAGAAAACUGGCGUUUCUACACUGUCAUAUGUUAAAACUACCAGAUUUAGCUCUAAGAGCCGUAGUUUGUUAGUAUCGCCGCAGUUUGUGGGCGGUGAAUAUCCAGAAUAGUGUAGAAUAUAUUUACGCUAGUGCUGAGGUAUCGAGUGUAUUUUUACAGCAGUAUUUAGGCUGUUCCGGAUUGUCGGUGUCGUUGAGGUUGACGGUGGACCCAGAUUGCUGUUUUUGCAUCAGAUUCUGCCGAAGGCACGUGAGUUCAGCUGUUAGACUCUGUUUACUUGACUAUAGCCUAUGAGAGCCUGAUUGAGCUUGACAGAGACAUCCUUGCAUACUCGGUUGGGUAGCACCCAUGAGUGCCACUCCAGAGUCGAGCUUUGUGCGUUUGCGUUGGUGUCGUUUUGUCCUAGUUGGACUUGCUCUCCACUGAUGACCUGGUUUGGUGUCAAUUAGUGUAGCUUCGACAGGCGAAUUGUUGUGUUAGAGCAUGAUAGUAUGGUGGCAUUUAGUUGUAGAUUUAUUCCAGCCUUCCUUACUAUCCCUACUUACUUCUGUAGACUUAGUGGGUGAGCCAUUGAGGUCGGUAGCGGUGCCCACUGAGGACUAUUUCUUUUUGCAGUAGUUCUCAUGCCUAGUUGUUGAAACCUUUUGCAGAGCCAUCUUCUUCAACUGCUGUUGCUGCUGAGUCUGAUCGUGGAAAGGGCGUGGCGAGUUAGAGCCCUUCCUGACGAGUUGCAGAGCUAGAGGAGUAUCAGCUAUAGAUAGUUGUAGUUUUUGGGUUAUGAUACAUACUAAUGCUUGUAUCUCGCUGGAGCGAGUAUUUUUUUGUUUACCUGAAUGUGACGUACGUAUAGUGAACCUCUGAUGUUAUAUAUGUUUUAUUUCGGCAGCUCUAUACUGCUGGUUGUAGUGUUGUAUGAUUACAGGUACACCUAUCGCUUCGUAUAUAGGAAAAGUUUUUUUUAUACGACGGAUUUGUCGGCGUGCCCGGGGAAACGAGUAAUCCGGGGCGUGACAGUUUGCAUUUUCUACAGAUAGUUAGUGUUGGUUAGCGAUAGUAUAAUAACAUAUAGUUGUAGAGUUUUUUCAGCUUCCUUUACUAUUCUUGAGCAUACCUUCUGUAGACUUAGUGGGUGAGCCGUUGAGGUCGGUAGCAGUUCCCACUGAGGACUACUUCUUUUUGCAAUAGUUCUCAUACCUAGUUGUUGACCCCUUUUUGCAGAGCCUCCUUCUUCGGCUGUUGCUGUUGCUGUUGCUGAUUCUGAUCGUGGAAAGGGAGUCGCGAGCUAGAUCCCUUCCAGUUUUGUUGCUGCUUAAAGGAGUACCAACUACAAGUAGUUUUGGAUUUUUGGGUCAUGUACAUGCUGAUGUUAGAUCCUCGCUGGAGCGAGUAUUUUGUAUCUGGAGACUAUGUAUGUAUUGUGAACCCGAUGCUUAUUUUUAUAUGUUACAGUUCUGUUAGCAGCUCUAUACUAUUAGUUGUAGUUUUGUAUGAUUAUAGGUACAGGUACAGCUAUCGCUUCGUAUAUAGGAAAAUUUUUUUUUAUACGGCGGAUUUGUCGGCGUGCCCGAGGAAACGAGUAAUCCGGGGCGUGACAUCGGAAUAGCUUGGAUUUUUGAUAGAAAUUUCUAUUCACUACCUAAAUAAAGAUCAAUAACUCCGAUCUUAAAUUGAAAGAUCCGAUCAUCUAUUUUUAGGAUGUCGUUCUAUACCCCCUUGAUAGACUUUAUAAUGAUUUCGAAAAAUUACGAAAUUUAUUUUCUAGAAGUUUCAAAUACUCUAAAUCAUGUUUAAUGGUGUGGAUCCUCGAUUUGAAGAGCCCAACAGCGAAAACAACUUAUGAGUACGAAGGGCUGUAUACUCAUAAGAGUAUAGUAGCCCUACUAUAUAUAUAUAUAUAUAUAUAUAUAUAUAUAUAUAUAUAUAUAUAUAUAUAUAUAUAUAUAUAUAACUAGGCUGGAANUUUUUUGAAAAAAUAAUUAGCAAAGUACACAUUUUCAAAAUAAAAAGUAUUAGUACAAAUUAGUAAAGAUUUUUUUUUAGAGAAAAUAUAAUAGCAUUCUGUUACUGUUCACUUCGUUUAUCUUUUUAAAGAGAAUAAACUCAUUUAGAACUAUUUAUUUAGUGUUUAAUUUGAGUGCACUUCGAUGUGACACGCACCGCAAGACCAAAUUAUCUCCACGUGCUUGUUUGACUAUGUGGGCUAAUGCUAGAAACGAAAGAUGCAAACAAAUUUAAUUUGGUUGAGCUAUGAAAAGCACUUGUUACUAUCAAUUAGGUUGGUGAACUUCCCAAUGAAUUGAGGUCUAAAUAAUGUAGACAUAAUAUAUAUAUAUAUAUAUGUUUUAUUAGAUCGAGUAUCUAUAUAGUGUUCUAGGGAGUCAAAAUCUAGUUUACUAGCUCAUUCAUUGGCUUCCAUGCUAUAUAUAUAGGUUUCCAUGGUUUCUUAGCAUCAAAGAAGAGAAAAAAAUAAAAAGGAGGGAUCUAAUUAUGCACUAAUAAUAUAGAUCUAAUCAUAUUCAUUUUUGAAAAAAAAAAAACUUAUAUAUAUAUAUAUACCACAUAUAUAUUUUUAAGAACACAAUUCUACUGUUUGAAGUGCAGAAAUUUACAAUAUGCAGAAUUAUAAAAUACAAAAAUUAUAUCUAUACUUCCUAUGAGUAAUUAUUUUUUGGUGUUUUCUUACCGUGAUUCUAUUAAAUUAGAAUGUUUGUUCAAAUAGGAAAAGAUUUUUAAUACCUAAGGCAAUGUUUUUUUAUUGUGUUUUAUUUUUUUUAUCUUUUUAAAUAAAGUUUUGUAUAUCAAAAGAUAUAGAAGUGAACAGUGUAUUGCUUGCAAUGCUUUUAUCCAAAAUAUUUACUUAACAAUAAAAAAUUAAAUCUUAAAAAUAAUUUUUUUUUCUUUCAUUUUUUUUUAAAAAAUUGUCAUUCAUUACUGGACUGGAUACAUUGUAAGCUAACUCACUAUAGAAAUAAAAAAAAAAAAGUUUUUUCUUCCAAUACAUCAAAUUAUAUAUAUAUAUAUAUAUAUAUAUAUAAUGUUAAAAAAUAUAAAAAUGAUAAUGAUACCAAACAAGUCCUGAGUUUUAUAUUUUUAUAUUUUUGAUUCUCUUAUUUUACAUUUCUUAAACAAGGCUGCCAAGUGACAACUGAGUUGCAUGUUUGUCUCUGAUCUAAGCUUGAACAGCAGUAACAGGAAAAUUCAUAAUUCAUAAUUACAAUAUUUGAAAAUACAACAAUGAUUAAUAUGAUUAAUCUAUGGAAACAAUGAUUUUGAGGUCCCACCUUAAAAGGGACACAACAACAACUUCAACUUAGCCCCCACAUCUUUCAAAUAAAUACAAGUUGUUAGAUUAAAAAAAUGAGCAGGAAAAUGAAAGGGAAAGUUCCUUUGAAUAGCUUUAUACAUAUGGGCCUUACUGAAGGAAAAAAAUUGCAAUGGACCCCCAUAUAUAUAUAUAUAGAGAGAGAGAGAGAGAGAGAGAGAGAGAGAGAGAAAGAGAGAGUGAGGCUAGUAUGCUUCUGGAAGCACAGAGUGCUCCGUGCUUUCAAGUCGUUUUCGACGUUAGGACUUUCGAAUCGAUGAUCGGCUUCGUUAGAGUGCCUAGUGAUUGAAGGGGCUCAAAAUCAACGGCUGAAAAUAAAAAUCUUACAAAAUUUAUUUUCUCGGUACUUUAAAUACUCUAGAUCACUCUAUAUAUGUAAUAUACUGAAUCUUAGCAAAUUAGCAAGGUUACAGUAUAAGUUAUGCUUGAUUGAGUUGGAGACGUUUUGCGCAAAAUAGACGUAAAAGCGGACUUUGAAACUUAAGAUUUAUAUUGUAGAGGACUAAAGUUGAAUGCUAGAGUAGGUGAGGGGCUUUUGGACAAUUGUUUCCUUUCAACCUUAUCCCCACCGCCUUAAUUAGGAUAGGGAGGCUGUAAGGGAUUUAAUUAACUUUCUUCUCUCUUUCACUCUAAUUUAGCUCGUGGGCACGAUGGAGAGCUCGAGCUCGGGAGAUUUUCGUUGUCGUUUCGGAGAGCCGUUCGAGCGUGCGUUCGUCGUGGUAGCGCCGUUGGAGAAAAUUGACUUUUCUACGCCGCCAUUUGAACAAACUAUCAGAUUUAGCUUUAGGAGCCGUAGUUUGAUUGUAUUAUCGCAGUUUGUGGGCGGUGGAUACCCAGAAUAGUGUAGAAUAUAUUUACACUCGUGCUGAAGUGCCGAGUGUAUUUUUACAGCAGUGUUUAGGCUGUUCAGAAUUGUCGGGUGCUGUUGAGGUUGACGGUGGACCCAGAUUGCUAUUUUUGCAUCAGCUUGUGCCGAGGGCACGUGAGUUCAAUUGUUAGACCCUGUUUACUUGACUAUAGCCCGUGAGAGCCUGAUUGAGCUCGACAGAGAUACGCUUGCAUACUAGGUUGGAUAGCGCCCACGAGUGCCACUCCGGAGUCGGGCUUUGUGCGUUUGCGUUGGUGUCGUUGUGUCCUGGUUGGACUUGCUCUCCACGGACUGCUUAGUGUGGAGGUAGCUGUUUAGCUUCAACAGGCUGGGACGGGUGUUUUCACAGUCCCUGGGACCGGUGUGUUCAUAGUCCCUAGUGAGAUUGGGUCAAAUUGUACUUUUCUACAGAUAGUGGGUGAUAGACCGGGAUAGUAUAGGUGCAUAUAGCUGUAGAUUUAUUCCAGCUUUCUUACUAUACUUGUUUACAUCUAUAGACUUAAUGGGUGAGCUGUUGGGGUCUGUAGCGGUACCCACUGAGGACUACUUUUUACAGUAGUUCUCACGCCCAGUUAUUGGAAUCUUUUGCAGAGCCUUCUUCUUCGGCUGCUGCUGCUGCUGAUUCGGACCGUGGAAAGGGAGUCGCGAGUUAGAUCCCUUCCCAGUUGCUGCUAAGCUAGAAUAUACUAACUACAGGUAGUGAUAGUUUUUGAGUUCAUAUACAUAAUUAUGUUCUAUCUCGCUGGAGCGAGCGUUUUGUACACCUGGAUUUGAUGUAUGUAUAGUGAACUUCUGUUUUUAUAUUUGUUCUCUUUUAGCAGCUCUAUACUACUGGUUGUAGUAUUGUAUGAUUACAGGUACAGCUAUCGCUUCGUAUACAGGAAAAAUUCCUUUGUAUAUGACGGAUUUGUCGGCGUGCCCGAAAAAACGAGGAAUCCGGGGCGUGACAAUAUAUAUAUAUAUAUAUAUAUAUAGAGAGAGAGAGAGAGAGAGAGAGAGAGAGAGAGAGAGAAAGAGAGAGUUUUGCUAGAAUACUAUUGGUAGUAAACGGCUCGGUUUACUACCGAUUUGUUUUCGAUGAUAGAGCUUCCCAAUUGAUGAUCGGCACCGUUAAACAUGAUCUAAACUAUUUAAACUAUCUGAAAAUCAAAUUUCACACAUUUUCGAUAUUGUUCUCUUGUCCAUCAAAUGAACAGAAAAAUGAAUGGCUGGAAAUGAAUAUCCUUCAAAAAGUUAUGAUACAAUUUUUAUAUUUGAGAUCUAGAGUCUAGAUCUUAUUUUAAAUAGUUUAAAAAAAUUUUUAACAAAAAUUUAGUCUAUACCGUUAAACGAGCAAACGCACCAUAUCGGCCAUUAAAAUUAUAGAUUUUGUGACCCUUUGAUCGUUCAGUUAGUGAUGCCAAAAAAAUCAUAAAAUUUGAUUUCUAGAUAAUUUAAAUGGUCUAGAUCAUGUUCAACGGUGCCGAUCGUCGAUUUGGAAGCUCUAUCAUAAAAAACAAAUCGAUAGUAACGAGCAGUUUACUACUGAUAGUAGCCCGGUCAAAACACUCUCUCUCUCUCUCUCCUCUCUCUCUCCUCCCUCUCUCUCUCUCUCUUCUCUCUCCCCUCUCGCUCUCUCUCUCUCUCCGUCUCUCUCUCUUAUAUAAUAUAUAUAUAUAUAUAUAUAUAUAUAUAUUAUGAUAGCUGGAAUAACUAUUAAUAGUAAAACGCUCUUUUUGCUAUCAAUUUUUCCUUGGAGAAAAAUUGUAAGGUCAGGAUGAUAUUAGUCGUUAGAGUUGAGGGUCCCCACUGGUUAUAGUAUUUAAUCCAAUGGUUAGAAAUAAUGAAAAGAGUUUAUCCAAAGGCUAAAAAACUGGUAGCAACAAUAGGAUUUUGCUACUAAUAGUAGCCCAGUCCAACUAAUAUAUAUAUAUAUAUAUAUAUAAUAUAUAUAUAGUGAGGCUAGUAUGCUUUUGGAAGCACGAAGCGCUCUGUGCUUUCAAGUUGUUUUCGAUGUUAGGACUUUCGAAUCGAUGAUCGGCUCCGUUAGAGUUGAUCUAGAGUAUUUAAAGUACCGAGAAAAUAAAUUUUGUGAUUUUUCAAUAUCAUAUGCCUAGUGAUCGAAGGUGCUCAAAUCAAUAAUUUUAAUGGCCGUAGUGAGCCGUUUGCAAGUUUAACGGUGUAUAAAUAUCCAAAUCACAUGAAAUUUUGAUAGAAAAUUUUUUAUACCAUAUAAAACAAGAUUAAUAACUUUGAUCUAAAAUUUUAAUGUCAUAUCAUCAAUAUUUGUAAGAUUUUUAUUUUCAGCCGUUGAUUUUGAGCCACUUCGAUUACUAGGCAAAUGAUACCGAAAAAUCGUAAAAUUUAUUUUCUAGAUAUUUCAAAUACUCUAGAUCAAGUCUAAUGGAGCCGAUCGUCGAUUCGAAAGUCCGAACAUUGAAAACAACUUGGAAGCACGGAAGCAUGCCAGACGCACUAUAUAUAUAUAUAUAUAUAUAUAUAUAUAUAUAUAGCAGGGCUGCUGCUCUGAGCCGUUUUUGAUGAUGGAGUUUUCGAAUCGACGAUCGGCUCGUUAAACUUGAUCUAGCGUAUUUAAAGUUUCUAGAAAAUAAUUUUUGCGAUUUUUCGAUAUCAUUUACCUAGCAAUCGAAAUGAUUCAAAAUCAAUAAUUUUUAACGACUGAAAAUAAAAAUUCUAUAAAAAGUAGUGUAUAGCACUAAAAUUUCGAUCAGAAAUAGAUCUUGUUGUAGAUAGUAUAAAGAAUUUUCUAUCAAAAUUUCAUCUGAUUUGAAUACUUCUACACCGUUAAACUUGAAAACGGCAGAUAUAAACCAUUAAAAAUUAUGGAUGUUGAAUCCUUUCGAUCACUAGGUAAAUAAUAUCGAAAAAUCACAAAAAUUAUUUUCUAGAAACUUCAAAUGCGCUAGAUCAAGUCUAACGGAGCCGAUCGUUGAUUCGAAAAUUCCAUCAUCGAAAACAGCUCAGGAGCACGGAGGCCUCCGUCUCCUGAGAGCACAGCAGCCUGCUCUCUCUCUCUCUCUCUUCCCUUCUCUCUCUCUCUCUCUCUCUCUCCUCUCUAUAUAUAUAUAUAAUUAUAUAUAUAUAUAUAUAUAUAUAUAGAGCUAGUCUCAUAUACUAUCUAUAUACCAAGGCUACCCGGUAUUAUAGUCUUGGUUUUGAUCUUAGGGUAUUCAAAUCAACGAUCCACACAGUUAAAACUGAUCUUGGGUAUUUAAAGUUUUUAGAAAUAAAAUUUUAUAAUUUUUCAACAUAAUUUACUUUAUGAUUAAAUCAUUUCGAAAUUGUCAGUUUUCAGUGACUACUAUAGCGAGUUUGGAGUUUAACUAUGUAGAAGAAUCUAAAUUUCUUCAAAUUUUGAUAGAAAAUACUUUAAACUAUCUAGAUUAAGGUUAACAUUCUUGAUCUUAAAUUUAAAAGUCCUAUGCUCAAAUUUUAAAGGUUAUUCAAUUUCCACCGUUCAUUUUAACAUACUUUAUUUACCAAGUAAACGAUAUCGAAAAAACUAAAAUUUUAUUCAUAAAAACUUCAUAUACCCUAAAUUUUAUAUAUAUAUAUAUAUA